Non-coding RNA from Termitomyces sp. Mn162, 83 nucleotides. The record is from the annotation of a GenBank genome assembly. NCBI's taxonomy places the organism in Eukaryota, Fungi, Basidiomycota, Agaricomycetes, Agaricales, Lyophyllaceae.
GUCCGCAUCGAUUAUUGGUUAAAUCAUUUCGUUGUGGUGAUAAGCGCUCCGAGAAGCCGCAGGCUCGAGUCCUGCUACGGACA